Molecule: ribosomal RNA, 500 nt
Filed under: uncultured bacterium
Lineage: Bacteria
Description: bacterial SSU rRNA
Rfam family: Bacterial small subunit ribosomal RNA
Source: RNAcentral
CUCAGGAUGAACGCUAGCGGCAGGCUUAACACAUGCAAGUCGAGGGGCAUCGGGAGUAGCAAUACUUGCCGGCGACCGGCGCAAGGGUGCGUAACGCGUGAGCAACAUGCCCGUAUCAGGGGGAUAAUCCAUGGAAACGUGGUCUAAUACCCCAUAGUAAUUAUGUAAGGCAUCUUAUAUAAUUUAAAGCUUUGGUGGAUACGGAUUGGCUCGCGUGACAUUAGCUGGAUGGUAAGGUAACGGCUUACCAUGGCUACGAUGUCUAGGGGUUCUGAGAGGAAGGUCCCCCACACUGGAACUGAGACACGGUCCAGACUCCUACGGGAGGCAGCAGUGAGGAAUAUUGGACAAUGGAUGGAAAUCUGAUCCAGCCAUGCCGCGUGCAGGAAGACGGCCCUAUGGGUUGUAAACUGCUUUUGUAUGGGAGCAAUAAGGGCUACGUGUAGUCCGAUGAGAGUACCAUACGAAUAAGCACCGGCUAACUCCGUGCCAGCCGCCGC